This 78-nucleotide small nuclear RNA is filed under the name Tupaia belangeri chinensis (Chinese tree shrew). RNAcentral's name for it is "Tupaia chinensis (Chinese tree shrew) U4 spliceosomal RNA". It matches the Rfam family "U4 spliceosomal RNA", at positions 1 to 78 of the family's 138-position model. Rfam says of the family: U4 small nuclear RNA (U4 snRNA) is a component of the major U2-dependent spliceosome. The structure of U4 snRNA from yeast and human has been reported. U4 snRNA presents a k-turn RNA motif in the 5p-SL related to recognition of Snu13 protein. The record is from Rfam by way of RNAcentral. Lineage: Eukaryota; Metazoa; Chordata; Mammalia; Scandentia; Tupaiidae.
AGCUUUGCGCAGUGGCAGUAUUGUAGUCAAUGAGGUUUAUCCAAGGCACGAUUAUUGCUAAUUGAAAUCACUCCCCAG